GCACAGAUUAAAUGUAGCUGUAGCAUCAUUAGUGUUUGACCUGCGUGUAACAGAUGGAGCAGCGAUUAGGAAUAAAGAUUUGAGUGCUAAAGGUCAAAACUGCUUUGUUAAGAGUGAUAUCUUAAGUGUCGCAUUCUUAGAAAGGAAAACUAAUUUAGCUCUUGCACAAAUACCAAGUCAGUUGAGUUUUUUGCAACAAUUCUAUAAUUUUAUGCUGUGUAUGAAAUUAUAGGAAAGUUCUCUACCAUGCAAGGUUUGGCAAAUAUAAAUGUUGCAUUCCUCUCUGAAAAUCUGUCUAAAAUGGUCUGAUUCCAUAAAAUGCUGAUUAGAACAGCAAAGUUUGGUCAGACAGUUGAUUAGAAAAGGGGAGAAAAAAAACAUUAAAAAGUACGGAAAAUAACAGUCUGCUUCACUAAAGCCAAAACCAGAAAGAUGUUUGGUCUUGUCUUUUCUUAAUGUUUAAAAGAAAAUAUUAAAGUAUCAGAUGAUUAGAGAACAGCUUAAAUGGAAAGAGCAAUCAGCUUCAUGAUGAUGAAAAACAAAGUAUCAUGAAAAACUUUUGACAGGCUCUAAAAAACCUCUGGUUUAUUUUCUUAGAAUUUGUGAUAGUAAGAAAAACUCCACUGUAAGAUUUAGUCACUUUCUUAAACCCGCCUGUAUGUGGGCAAAAUAGUUUUAGUCUCAAUGACUGCAGAGCAGAACAAAAAUGGCGUAAAACUCAACUUCACGUUUAUAAUGACACCUAUAAAGAAAGACUAUGUAACUAUCACUCAACACUAAAACAUGCAAGAGAGGCUUUCUUUGCAGAUGUCAUAAACAAAAACAUCAACAAAGCUUGAGCUUCCUUUUCAACAGUUGACAGGCUCACAAACCCUCCUGUGACGUUACCACCUGAACUCCAAUCGAAUGCUGUCUGGAACAAGUUUUCCAACUUUUUUUCAGAGAUUAAUCUGCACGUCAACUCUAAAGCCAGAACCAUUGCUGGACCCAAACAAAACAAAUACAGGAAAAAUGACCCACUUUCAAAUACUUAAUCAUAAAAUCCUAGAAGAAAUUAUAAGUCAAAUAAGUUCAAGCUCCUGCUGUCUGGGUGUCCUACCCGCACAUUUCUUUAAGAAAGUCCUGCCUGUUAUUGCUACUGAUCUCAUCCAAAUCGUAAACUCAUCGCUCACAUCAGGUGUUUUCCCCCAGGCUUUGAAAACAGCAGUCAUCAAACCACUGCUAAAAAAGAACAACCUGCUAGGCCUGUCGCGAUAAACGAUAAGUCAAUUAAUCACACGAUAAGUUAAAACUAUUGACCUCAUUUUAAUUAUCUGCUAUGUCGUGUUCUUAGAAUAAGAAUAACGUUCGGGGUAAAAAAGAUCCUGUAGUUUGAACUAUUGCAUCAGGCAGUCGGAUUCUAUUUAAAUCUAAUGAUUACUGAAGGGCAAUAUACUAUACAGAUUUCAUAAUCUGCACUCUUUUGGUUGAAUGCAGUAUUUAUUUCCACUUUGGCUUCAUGUUGUUUAGUUUUUAUUCAAGUACAUUUAUUGUUAAUGGAGACUAAGAAUCUAUUUUAUUUUUGGUUUUGGUUGUUUUAUUUAUUUUGUGUAUCAGUCCCAAUGUUAAGUGUCUUGAAAGUAAAAUGUAUUAUUACGUAAUUUCCAUUAAAUCAAUGUAAAAAGGUCUUCAAACAAUAUCGUUUAUCGCAAUAAUUUUUGAGACAAUUUAUCGUCCAGCAAAAUCUGUUAUCGUGACAGACCUACAAAUCACUACUGCAGAAUUACAGGCCGGCCUCUGACCUCCCACUCAUCAGCAAAGUUAUUGAGAAAAACUGUGUGUAAACAAUUAAAUAGUUUUCUCAUAAUGACCAACUGCUUUUAUUCUUUCCAAUCUGGUUUUUACUUGAUUGAUGACCCCCAAUUAGAUCACAAUAAAUCAAAAGAAAAUAAUAAAUACAAGUGCUAUUCAUAACAACUUAGGGAAAAUUUGUGUUUAGUUCAGUUACUGAUUAUGAAUUUGGGCUAGAAAAAUUUGGUAACAAGAAAAAAUAUACAUAUUUAAUAAUAAACAUCUAUAAUUCCUGUUUCAAAAAUAAUUAUUGCAUAAACUGCGAUACCAGUUUUGAGAUCGGGGUAAUAAGAAACGUACAAGUUCAUUUUGGUCUUGGCCGCUCCCUGAUUAGCUGUUAGCUUCCUCUUCUGCAGCAAACUAAUCUGGAUUUAUACUAAAUGAAAACAACAAGGGAGUUAUCUGCAGCAAAUUGUAACCCUUUACUUGAAAAUGAUUUAGGUUAAGGAAGCACAUUAUCAAAAAAAAUAAACAAAUACCUCUCAACAUCUGGAUAGAAAAACCCACUGGUCCUAAUGAUGGUGUUUUGUCCAGCAAGAAAACUAUUAUGUAUUUUCUCCAUAAGAAACACAGUUUUGGAGCUUCGGUUUAAGCAAAGAUUUCUGAGUGCAGCCUCAAAUGUCUGACAGACAAGCAAAAGCCAUUAACAAGUCUUCUCACCACAAUCCUAGCCAUUCAUUAGACAUCAAUCAAAGGAGGAUGUGUGAUAAUUAAAUGAGGAGUGCUAAUGCUUUGUAGCACUUGUACACCAGGCCAUUUUAGUCUGACACCUGGAAUAGCGUAAAAUAGACAGAAGGAGGAUGUCAGUCUUUGUGUUGAUGGCUGGAGCAGGUCGGUGCUAACAGGCUAAUUUAUUAAUAAAAACAUCAAAGAAGUCAAGUUACAAUUUUCAAAGUUGAAUCUCAAUUAAUUAGACUUAGACUAAUUAGUCAACUGAUUUCUGUUUCAGUUUUAAAGGGUAAACCUCAUGCAGAUCAAUUUCACAUGGAGCUUCUCAGAAAAUUGAAACGCAUGUUCACGUUGCUUUGAUAAUAAUGACUGCGUACAACAUUUGAAGCAUCGCCCAUACUGUAUGCUACAUCCUACGGUAAAAAAAACAAACAAAAAAAUAAACAUUGUCCUCAUUCUGUGGCUGUCAAAUAAAAAAAAACAGCCAUGUUGUCUCUGUCUUGUUAGCUCUUAUGCCAAGAAACCUUCAGUAACCCAGGAACCCAGUGUUGAAUCAAUUUAACUGUUUUUCUAAACCUUUUAACAUGUCAGAGCUCACGGUUGCACAUUCAUACUAUCCUGUUUGCCUAUAUCUGCUCUGUCAGUGCUGUGGAGCUGCAGUGGAGCUGACAGCUUGCUGUGACAGAGAGCCUAAAACCAACAAAGUGUCAGCUGCUGCACAGGAGAAAUGCCGUUGAUUGGAUUAGGCCCCUGUGUGUUCUCAGGCCUAAUGGAGCGAGUUCCAGAGACCGUCCAACACAGAUCUAUUUUUAAUUAGAAAUUAGACAGAAACAAGAGAACUUUCUGCAAGGCGCUGAAAAUGAAAACCUUUCAUCUUUACAAUUAAUACACAUUAAAACUAUUUGCUACCAAAAAAAAUAAAAUGCAAAACUUUCCACAUAGUAAAAACUUUGCUGUGGAUUCAUCAAAAAUAUUCCUUGCAACUUCCAAAAGAGAGUUGGUAUGACAUUAUGCAGUCAAAUUGGAAUAUCAUUAAAGUCAAUCAAUUUCAGUCGCUCAUUUCAAUAAGUGAAAUGCAUUAUACAAAUUAAUUACAUGCAGACUGAUGUUUUUCAGCCUUUAUUUUUGUUAAUUAUGAUUAUUUCUCACUUACAGGUAAUGAAAACAAGACAUUUAAGAUCAGAAUAUUACAUCAGACCACUGAAAAAAAUAUUUCAUUACAGGAAUGUGGGGUAACUUAAAAUUAUUCUUAAUACCUGAAUAAAGGUUGUUUUUAAAAAGUACUUUUAAUCAGAAACAAGCCUCAUUGGAGUGUAUGCAGCGGACCUGCACCUGUUCUCAAUUAAGUAUUCUGUGAAAAAUAACUCCAAAUUAACUGUGGAAAAUUCGUAAAUUUAUCUAUUUUUAUAUCUAUAUUUUUUGUCAUUUGACAUAUCUAAAAUAUUUUAAGUGAAUUCAACUGAAAUUGGCUGAUGUGUGGAAAGCAACCGAUUCAAAAUAAGAGGUAUCCUCAAUUGGCUGAGUCCACAGGAUAAGGAACACCUUCGAUGGUAACCUAUGUGGGAGAGCUAAGAGUUUCAACUGUGCAUAUGGAUUAAUAUUAAAGUAUACUUGGUUUUUGGAACUGUUAAAACAGUUAUAAGUGCUUUUAGAGGAGCUGUGAGGUAUUCAUGUGACUGCAUAAUGUCAGAUCAAUAGGAAUAUAUGGAUAGACAAACGGUCAGAUGGACAAGGUGCUACUGAAUGGUUACAGAAUACAUUCAGUGCUCAAGUGGAGGCAUUGCUAUCUGGGUUAUAAACCUGACCAAUGAGAUAUCAGAUACCUGCAGUACAGACAAACUAACCAAUAGCCACGCCACACAAUAAACAAGUCUGAUAACAUUCAUUGAAAAUCAAAAAUACAUUAAGUGAAUAAGAUAUCGCUAUAGUUACUAUCUGUUCAUGCUGCAUUUUGCAGAAUUAUUUAAUGAAAAAUUAUUGAUGGGCUUCAGUAGCUUAAUGGAUCCAAUAUGAAGAUUAAAAACACUGAAAUGCAUGAUUUGAACUUAGAAUAAUCUAUAACUCUGCACAUCUUUAACACACAGCGCUGUGCAAAGGUGAGCUGCAAUAGAUCUCUGAAAAGACAAUAUUUACUGUUGCAAUAAACUCCAUCAUUUACUCCUUUAGACAUUUACCAACUCUGAGGUUGGAAAAUGUUUUCAAUCAUUUGCCGCCUCAAUUUUUUUCUCUUGCUCCCCUUUCUUUCCUUUUAUGUUCAAACAUGUUCUCAUACAACUUACAGAUACAAAUAAUGUAACAAUAGUUCUGAUUUGUAUGUUUUGUCUGUUGCAGGUUUUAACUCUGACUGACUGAAGGAGGAUAUGGAUUCUUCAAGAGAAAACUGAUGUGAUCCAACAGAUUCCAAAAUAUGUUGAAAAAUUAAUAUCUUAUUUACUUUUCCUUAAACUAGGGCUGUGAGUCCAACAUCAGAAAACUUCAUUCUUAUUGCUUCUUAUAUUUAAUAUACAGCCAUCUUAAUUAUUAUGUUUGCUGUUUUCACUUUAAUGAAAUUCAACAAACAUAAUCCGCUAGCAGCCAGAAAUGAUGGAAGAAAGUGAUAAACAGGAGCUAAAACAGGAAUACAGCGUGACAGAGCCAAAGCUUGCCACAGUUGUGUCCCUUUUUCUGUUCAGGAGUUGCACAAAGCUGACAGCUCUGAAAGGUCAACCUGCUCUAGACCAAAAUGUAAAUGAAGCGACCAAAGUCGCCCUGGAAUCCCAGACGACGGUGAUUCUCUUCAUCAGCUGUCAAUUGAUUCUCCUACUAAAUACCUCAACACUGAACACUAGAGACACGUGUGGUAUCCGACUCUUUCAGAGGAUUCACACAAUGGAGUCCUCUUAACGAGCAACGCAGCAGCUAAGGAGGAAAGUCCUCGCCAUGCCAACAUGGCUCACCGGCCUGCUGAGAGCCAAGCAGCACCUGACAGAUGCCACUUUGGGGGCAAAAUCCCAGAGGGCUCCAAAGAGCCAGCACAGGACUGAAGCCAAGGGAGCAGAAGACUGGAAUACCGAAACACAUUACAGUUAUAUAUAUAAAUAUGAUUGCUGAAAUCCAUUUAACUGUCCACACGUAAAGCUGCAGUAUGUAAAGCAAAUGUUUUGUACAUAUUUAUUUGAUGUAAAGCACUGUUGCUGAAAUGUGCUAUACAAAUAAAAUUUGAUUGAUUGA
Long non-coding RNA from Poeciliopsis prolifica (blackstripe livebearer), 5709 nucleotides. RefSeq lists it as uncharacterized. The transcript has 2 exons. NCBI's taxonomy places the organism in Eukaryota, Metazoa, Chordata, Actinopteri, Cyprinodontiformes, Poeciliidae. The record is from RefSeq and is a predicted model, not a curated record.